ACGCUUGGUAUGGGGGGAAUCGACCCCUCCCGUGCCGGAGCUAACGCGUUAAGCGUGCCGCCUGGGAAGUACGGUCGCAAGAUUAAAACUCAAAGAAAUUGACGGGGACCCGCACAAGCGGUGGAGUAUGUGGCUUAAUUCGAUGCAACGCGAAGAACCUUACCUGGGCUUGACAUGCAUCUCUCAAACGGUGAAAGCCGUGGAUAGGAGCAAUCCUAAAUUUGCACAGGUGUUGCAUGGCUGUCGUCAG
This 250-nucleotide ribosomal RNA is filed under the name uncultured bacterium. RNAcentral's name for it is "partial 16S ribosomal RNA". It matches the Rfam family "Bacterial small subunit ribosomal RNA", at positions 813 to 1058 of the family's 1533-position model. The record is from RNAcentral.